Molecule: long non-coding RNA, 1469 nt
Organism: Passer domesticus (house sparrow)
Lineage: Eukaryota; Metazoa; Chordata; Aves; Passeriformes; Passeridae
Exons: 2
Source: RefSeq, a predicted model, not a curated record
AGCUCUUUUAUUACCUGGUUAUUAUCUUUCACAUACAUCCAGAAAAAAAGGAAAAUACCAGUAGUUAUGGUGGAAUGAUCAUCAUUCAUAAUUUUGAAAUGUCAACAAUUUUACUGAAACAACCCUUUUCCACUGGAUAAGACUUAGUUAUUCUACUGGUAGCAAAUGAAGGACAGCAUAUGUCAGCCCUCCUGCACUCCCCAGUCAACAGUUGAUCAGCACUGACAAAUUUGCUCACACCUUCUUCCAGUUUUUGCAUGGAUGAAGACUGAAAACACAGAAAAAUGAAAGAAAGAAAGAAAGAAAGAAAGAAAGAAAGAAAGAAAGAAAGAAAGAAAGAAAGAAAGAAAGAAAGAAAGAAAGAAAGAAAGAAAGAAAGAAAGAAAGAAAGAAAGAAAGAAAGAAAGAAAGAAAGAAAGAAAGAUGACCUAAUGUCAGGUUCCUGUUCUUGGGAGAAGGGCUAUGUGACAGUAAAAGAAAUAGGAUUUAUAAAGUUGAAGAAACAUUAGGGGUGGUUUCUUGGGAGAUUCAUUUCCUUUCCUUCACUGUAAAGAAGGUUUCUUCAGGAGACCUUAAGAAAGAGAUGGAGUUGCCAGAGGAUGGACAAAAGAUUUCCAGUCUUUUCUCUGUGACCAGAGAAAUCAAAGCUGAGUAUCUGAGAAAUGCAGGCUUGGCCUUAUUCACUGUCUUUCCUUUCUUGGAAAAUGAGCACUAAAAAAUCCACCAAAGCUUAUGACAUUAGCAGUCAAGCUAAGCAAGCCAGUAGCAUUCCAUUUGCAAGGGCAGAUCUGUGAUGAGACUCUGAAGAUCACAUCACAGAUGUGGUUGCGCAUCACAGAUAUGUUUUUGCCCAGACAGCUGGAGGCAAUGUGGAGGGCAUAUUUUCCACUCAUCUUGGUGUGUAUCCUGGUUCUCACAGGACCCCCACUCCUGCAUCUCUGGGGGGCAGCUCCCCAAACCCUGGUUUUGGCUGGCAGGCUCAGCAGGCAUGCUGGGAGCAACCCGAGUCCCAAAGCUAAACCGUGUAAGGAAACUUAUACCACACAUCAGAAAGAGCCUAGAAAUACACCGAGUGUUAUGGGGCUUGUGAAAGGGAUGUGAGAACCGUGAGGGUUUGCUGGGCCCAGGACUCACUGAGAUGCAGAAGCAGGAAGGCAGCAGGCGUGCAGCUCAGGGCUGUGCUGCUCGACUCCAUCGCUGGGAAUGCUCCUCCCGUCUGCAGAGAGCAGGGCUGGAAAUGUUGUCACUGCCAAGGGAUCUUAUCCUGGAAGACCCAAAUGCUCUGUUAAUAAUGUCUGAUUUUUCAGACCUUGAUGGAUGGGACUUGUGUUCCCAGUCAGCUCCCACCACCCUUCAGCACAGAAAAAUGGAAGCUUAUUGGGAAAGUCACCAGAGCCCUUUGUUUCAGCAAAGAAUCCAUCUGCAGCGUGCCCCUGGAGUUUGGUAAUAAACAUUUCAUUUUACUCAUC